CCUACGGGCGGCUGCAGUGGGGAAUAGUGGACAAUGGGGGGAACCCUGAUCCAGCCAUGCCGCGUGUGUGAAGAAGGCCCUCGGGUUGUAAAGCACUUUCAGUGAGGAAGAACGCCUGGUGGUUAAUACCCAUCAGGAAAGACAUCACUCACAGAAGAAGCACCGGCUAACUCCGUGCCAGCAGCCGCGGUAAUACGGAGGGUGCGAGCGUUAAUCGGAAUUACUGGGCGUAAAGCGCGCGUAGGUGGCUUGAUAAGCCGGUUGUGAAAGCCCCGGGCUCAACCUGGGAACGGCAUCCGGAACUGUCAAGCUAGAGUGCAGGAGAGGAAGGUAGGAUUCCCGGUGUAGCGGUGAAAUGCGUAGAGAUCGGGAGGAAUACCAGUGGCGAAGGCGGCCUUCUGGACUGACACUGACACUGAGGUGCGAAAGCGUGGGUAGCAAACAGGAUUAGAUAACCGAGUAGUC
Molecule: ribosomal RNA, 465 nt
Filed under: Vreelandella stevensii
Lineage: Bacteria; Pseudomonadati; Pseudomonadota; Gammaproteobacteria; Oceanospirillales; Halomonadaceae
Description: partial 16S ribosomal RNA
Rfam family: Bacterial small subunit ribosomal RNA
Source: RNAcentral